Molecule: long non-coding RNA, 339 nt
Filed under: Ananas comosus (pineapple)
Lineage: Eukaryota; Viridiplantae; Streptophyta; Magnoliopsida; Poales; Bromeliaceae
Description: long non-coding RNA (ACOM_LNC019191)
Source: RNAcentral
AGUAAGAAUCAUUUUACGUUAUUUAACAGGAUAUCGGAGCAGAAAACUAAAUGCAAGAGAGAGUGAAUACAAAAAAUUAAAACAAGUUCUUUUACGGCUAAAAUUUUUAAAGAACAGCGAUCGAUUUAUGUUUUUUUUUUUCUUUUUUGAGAGAUAGAUAGAUAGCACGCUACCUGUUUCGUUUAUUUUAUUUAGAAAUAAACUUAGCUGGAAAUGUAAAUCUACUAGGAUUCGAAUUUGGAAUUUCGGGUACCAACCACCAAACUCUUUCUCACUUGCUCUAGCGAUCGAUUUGUGUUAUUCAACACUUACGUAGGUAUCGCUUUUCCCAUUUAUUCU